UACGGAGGAUCCGAGCGUUAUCCGGAUUUAUUGGGUUUAAAGGGCGCGUAGGCGGAUUUUUAAGUCAGGGGUGAAAUCCCAAGGCUCAACCUUGGAACUGCCUUUGAUACUGGGAAUCUUGAGUCCGGGAGAGGUGAGUGGAACUGCGAGUGUAGAGGUGAAAUUCGUAGAUAUUCGCAAGAACACCAGUGGCGAAGGCGGCUCACUGGCCCGGAACUGACGCUGAGGCGCGAAAGCGUGGGGAGCAAACAGG
Molecule: ribosomal RNA, 253 nt
Filed under: uncultured bacterium
Lineage: Bacteria
Description: partial 16S ribosomal RNA
Rfam family: Bacterial small subunit ribosomal RNA
Source: RNAcentral